This is a long non-coding RNA of Leptidea sinapis, 6144 nucleotides long. RefSeq lists it as uncharacterized. Lineage: Eukaryota; Metazoa; Arthropoda; Insecta; Lepidoptera; Pieridae. The record is from RefSeq and is a predicted model, not a curated record. The transcript is spliced from 2 exons.
AUGGGCAAGGCGUAUCAAUUAUCAUCAGCUGAACGUCCUGCUCGUCGCUUAUUUCAUAAAAAAAAUUGCAGGACGGCGUGGGGGCAGCGUAGUAUCAGAAGUAUCAGAGAGUGUGGACAGUAGCGUAAGCGCAGGGACCGGAGCGGGGGCGGAGUCGAGCGGGGCGGGGGCGGAGGAGGCGGUGCUCGCGGCGCUGCGCAGACAACUACAGCCGCACUUACUGGCCGCGCUACACGCACACACACAGGCGCGCCCCGCCACACACAAUCAGAUCGGUCGCAGUAUGCCGGAGUACGACGAGGCACCGUUGAACCUGGUCGCAAGCCACGGAGCCGCCGGCGAGACGCAUUGAUCUGUACACGUUGUUGUCUACUCCAUGUCUACUCUAAGACACAAUAUGGCGUCACCCCACACAAUCCUCUACCAUAGACAAAUAUUAUUUUUUCAAACAGUACUCGAAAAUAUCGUUCAUGGCUUUGGCGAUAGCCAGCUAAUUGGUUGUUUCAAAACAAUUCGUUGUAUGUAUGCCUUUUGUAUGAUAAUCCAAAUGCAAUUUUAUACAAUAUAACUUGAGAAUUUUUAAAGAUGAUAUACAUGUAGUUACAUAUUAUAAUAUUUUUAUGAAACUCAAAUGUUCCCAUUCAUUUUAUACCAGUAGUGAGUUAAGGCCAGUGUUUAAUGACAAUAUUAUAAGAUAUUUAAAAUGAGAUAUAUCACGAAGUACUUCAAUUUGAAUUUAACACACAAUUUGUUAUAAAUAAAUUAUUUUUAUACACAUAAAACUUCCUAUUGUCAAGAAAUAUUUUUAAUUCCCACAGAAAUAUAUGGUAUUGUUCAGACAGGUAUAAUUUCAAAUUGUAAGUACUUGUUGAUACUGUUCGCGGUAUCUAUGAACCUUUUAGAUGUUUUCUGAAAUAUGUAUAUCAAUUAAGUAUUAUGUAAGCAGGGCAUUAUUUUUUUAAAGACUUAAAAAUGUAGGCGUUAUACAGAUUAGUGCCUAGUACUUUUAGGGCUAAUUAUCUGUGCAAAUAUAUUCUCUAAUAUCUUUAGAUUGUGAUAAAGCGUGGUAUGUUUGGAUGCACCUUUUAAAUUUUUUAAACAUUAAAAAUUAAUAGUACGUGAUACGGUUUUAGAAAUGUGUCAUUGAUUCAGCUAUGAUAUCUGUUUAAUAUUUAUUAAGGGAUAGGUUACCUACAUUACCUACUGUACAACUAUUAUAUUGCCAGGUAUGAACAGGUAAACAGGCGUAUUAUAAACAAUUUGUUAUGUUUUCAAAGUGAUAACACUCACUUCUGGGAUUAAUACACAAAUAAAACUGAAAACAAAAUUUUCAUGAACGAUGCAGGACUCGAAUCCGCUACCUCUAGCGUUCCUUGCGAGCGCUCUUACCAACUGAGCCAACCGUUGGAGUGGCGUAUCGUUGAUAAAAUCUUGUAUGCUUUGUUGCUAAACAUGUCUGGAUUUGCAAGAGCGACAUCCCAAGUCAAUUUCCUUAUAUGCAAAUAUUGGGGUUGAGCAGGUUAUUAACUGUUAAGUGUCCCGUAAAUGAAGCCCCAACCUGAGAGUUGAACAAAGCAUACAAGAUUUCAUCGACGAUACGUCACUCGAACGGUUGGCACAGUUGGAAAGAGCGUACUACUACUACUAAGGUGUUAUUUAUCUAUUGAAUAUUUAGUGGUACAUUAAUUACGCCUGUUUAACUGGCCUGGCAACUUUACAGUUGUGCUGUAAGUAGAGGUAGGUAUUUCACAAAUUCCCGUGCGAUGUAUUAAAUUUUCUCAAAUAUCAAAUGAAGGAAGCAGAUCGCUGGCGACCACCACGAUUGUAACCACCAAAUAACUGGUGAGGAUAUAUAUUUCUAAAACCGUAUUAUCGCCUAUAAUAAUUUGUUUUCUUUUUUAAAAUAUGAAUAACUGCGAUUAAAUGAGAGUAUUGCAUCAUUUGAUCAUAUCAAUUGAUUUGUGUAUAUUUUUUGGGGAUCAAUCGAAUCGUAUUUGUAAAGAAUUUUCGAUUUGCCGCCUUGCCUAUGCUCUCUCGAUACGAAAUUAUUAUAAACGGUUACCCAUUGCAGUAAGAAAGUAUUCAUUUAGUUAAGUUAUUGUAAAUUUUAUUUUACUUAGGCCUAUCUUUAUACAAUGGCAGUAUACUAAUUUAUUUCUCAUCCCGAUUUCGGUCAGUAUUCGAUAUUAAGUAUUGAAAACUUCGCGAUUGCGUCGAAGCAAUAAUUGUGAAUCUCCAACACGUGUUAACACGUGUUUUUUGUUUAUAUAUUACUCAAGUGAGCAAUAAUUUAUACAUGACACUAGUGAUUUUAUUUUUUUAAAUUAAUAUUAAUAAUGGUUUAUUUGUUGUAAUUUUAUGUUUGCUUGAAUUAUGUGUACAUUGUCCAAAUUAUUUAUGUAGAUGUUUUAACUCGUGCUAAAUGGCUAGUGGCUCUGUUCCCAAUUCAUUUCUUACAUGCAAUUACUUUUGUAAAUUUUGGGCAUAAUAUAUGUGUAUAUAUUUAUAUACAGUAUUACUUUAAUAAGAUUUUUUUUAAAUAAGUUAGUACCUACGUACGUACGCAAAAAGCGCACCCAUUCAAACGCCAUUGUGACUUGGUAUCAUUACAAAAAUAGUCUGUAGUUAUUUCUUGUCAUUUUAAUACAUUUCUGUCAUGUCUCUUCAUUACUCUCGGUGGUUUAAUUGGGAACAUCCAUUUCUAUUGUCUCUAGCCAUCGAGCACGCGUUUUAUAUAAGUCGCCUACGUCCUAUUGUAAGAACAACCUCAACGGUGGUCAGUGUUAUAUUUUAAAGCAUUUAAUCCGAACCGGGGCUGUUUAUUUUGUUUUCAUUUGAUUAGUUUAUCGCCGUCCUUUACUUAACGCCUUUACUUAAUUUAGUUAUAAUUUAUUCGUUGUUCGAACAACCGCGGGCCAGUAAGCUGUCUUUGAGACACUGUGAUAUAACAUAUACACCAUACUUUACUGCAAUUAGUGUGGCAAAUUUACAUCGGGGUUGCUUCGUUAGAAAAAUUUAUCAUUUAACAAAAUUAUUGGGGUUUUUUUUAAAUACAACAAGAGCUUACCAACCACAGUACUAUAUUGUCUUUCUACGAAGCGACCUUUAAGCGAACUAUCCAGUUGCAGCUAUCUUUCAUGUGAAAAAACGUAUUAGAAAGCUUUAAAUUUUGAGAUUAUAAUAUUAUUCUUCGUUAUUGGUAUUAUAAUAUUAUAUAGUUCACGUAGUUAUAGUAUUGCUUUAUAUCCUUCGACAAUAAAAUAUGUCCACGCUCUCUAAACUUAAACGCUAGCUCUCUAGGUUUUGAAAACUACAGCAAUAAAACAUUGAAUCUAUUAAUAAUAAUUAUCUGUUAACUUUACUUAGACGAUAGUGUAAUAAUUAUUUUUAAUAAAAUAUUAAGGGCCUGCUUACCCGGCGUAUAAAACGCAUUCGGUAUUCUGGGCGGGAAACAAGAACCAGGUAAUGCGGUUUGACACAAAAAAAAAACUUUUGAUUAAUACAAAUUUAUCUUUCCGAUUUUAAUAUGAUAAAUAAUGUGAAUAUCGCGUCAAUUAUGAAUAUUUAGUAGUAGUAGUAGUUACGACUCAUACAUAUUAAUUGUUACUCGGUAUCAAAAUAAAUAUGGCUUACACUUGUUAUAAAUUUCCCGCCAUAACCUGUAUCAUCUGACGGAUUGACAGAAACGUCAUGAUUUUGUGCAUGUGGCUGUCUUCGCGGUCACAGAUAACGAAUGAUUAGCCAGAGGGUCGACCUCCACCAAAACUUCUGCUCUCAUAUGCAGGAGUGUCACAGUAUUAUAGUAGGUAUAUUAUUUGUCUAUUCGUUUGUUUUGUACAUUUAUUAGGUUAUAGUUUUAUUGUAUUGUAAUAUUCGGUCGGGUAUCGCGAGGUCACCACAGUUGGCAGUAGUGAUAUUAAUUUUGUGUGAUUAUCAAGCCGCUGUCUUUGUUUACGUAUAUGUCUAAGAGUCUGGUUCACAAUUGUUCGUUUUAUACCGCCAAAAACGACGACAAAGCGAUAGUGUCAAAAUUUGCGCCCAUUUAUAUGUCAUUUUGUUGAUAGACAGCAUUAUAUUUUAAUAGUUCGCAUUUCAAUUAUUAUUAACUCGUAAUAAUAAUGAAUACAAUGAAAAUACUCCCUCUAUGUAUAUACUUACUCAAAGUCAGCGUUACCUAUCGAUCUUCCAAUUGGUUAUUUAUUAUAUUUUAGGUUAAUUUAUAAUCGAGUGUUGAUGAACAAUGUAAUAUUAAGUUACUAACAUACAGGUUGUGUCGUGUGCUGCGAGCUAACAAGCAUGUGUUUUACUUUUGUUUGAUAUUAUUGUGGUACAGGGUACCAAUUCAUUUGUUUUUAAUAAUUUAUGCUGAAAUAUUGGCUCACUGCGGGCCUUUUAAUGUCUGGCUUCAACAUACAUCAUAUAAUAAUCUACAUUAAGACAAUGCCCCUUGAACAUCGUGUCUGUUUGUUUUAAAUAUAAAAAACGAAUGCAAACGUAAUAGGAAUUACGAAGAAGACGUAUUAUUGCUAAAAAUAUAUGGGAAACGAUUAAAAAAAUCGUAUUAAUAACCCUUCCCUGCAUGUCUUUAUUCAUAUAAAUUUAAUAUUAUAUGUUAUAUCAUGGCUGAAAUAAAUAUUUCCUAUUUUUAGAUGACAGUUUCAAAAUAUCUUUAUACUAUAUCCUUUUGUGAGUGACAGACAUGAUGUUCAGGGGUUGUCUGUACAAAACGUAAGUUGCCAGGUGGGCAGUUUUAUUCAUCGUUACCAUUAGAAUGCUAUAAACUAGAAAAUUAUGACUCCGAUGCGUACGUUGAGCCAGUAUAAUUUACGAUGAAAACGUUUUGAGUAUCUCAUUAUAAAUUCCACUCAUUUUUCGUAAAAAAAAAAAAGACUGAAAGCUGGACACUGAUUUAGUCUUCAUUUAAAUUAUUUUCCAUUUGAUAAUAUAAAACGUAAAAUUGUAACUGAUAUGUGAUAGUUGUAGAAUAUGUGUGUUUCCGAAAAGCAAUAAAUUUGUGAUAAGUAGAUAUGAUGGGCAUUGUACGACUCUUUGGGAGUAUCCACAUUGUGAAGACAAACUAUCGUUGCGAACAUGCAGUGGUAGUUUACCUUCAUAAUGUAGCUCUGCAUAAUAUUAGAUGGUUGUCAAUUAAUUGUAAUUGUGAAGUAAGCAACAUAAACAGUAGCAUUAUUAGAUAUAUUGAACCCUUUCAAACGGGUUCACGUUUUACAAUUGUCAAUUAUACUAAAGGUCUCAAUACCCACAACUAAGAUAUUAUGCCGGAUUGACAUAUAUCACCGAAUUUACCUGAAAAUUGUUUUGCAUUGAAACAACAAUUAUUAUUAUUGUUUGGCUUGAUGGCGUAUCCUUUUAGAUUUCGCCAAUGACGAGUGUAUAUUAAUCAACUCUGCUAUAUAUGGCUUCGUGAAUAAACAAGGUCAUUAGAAACUAAGAAAUUUGUUACUGCUGAGAUUAUUCGCCGCAAAGAAGACUGUUGAUGUAUCUAAAACAAAAAAGACACACACAAUUCUAAUUUGAAUUGACAGUGACAGUAUUAGAAAACCUUAGGUACCUGUUUUUUGUUUGAAAAUGACACUAGCCGUAGUCAUUGAAAAUAAUAUGAAAUUCACUCAUGUCAUAGAUAAAUCCUCACUUAUUGUCACAUUUGUGUCAAAUUGAUUGGACCAGAUUACAUGACUUUUGAUUCUAGAUUUUGUGAUAUAUAUAUUAUGAUUGAAAAAUGUUUAUGUAUCUUUACCGUUUGUUUACUUUGAAUGCUACAUUUAUGUUGCGAGAGACUUCGAAGUCAGUAUAAAUUUGUAAUAAGUUCUUCCGGUUAGAUUUCUUAUAUCAUAUUCUCUGUCUCAAAUUACUUAUAAGAGUUAUAACUGUAGAAAAAAUACUCGUACUUUCAGAUAAGCUUAUCGACCAUUUUGAUGAUAUAUCGUGUAAUAAUAAGUUUCAGCAUAAAUUAUCGGUCAAGUAGAAGAGACGUCGCCGGAAUACUCAUUGUGAAACAUUAAUUAUUGUUGUAUAGAUGAUAAAUAAUGUGACUUACGCAGGGAUGGAUACUUAAAUUAUUUAACUGAUAUAUUGGCUAUGUAGUGAGUAGAAUAUUUUUUUACAAAUAAAUUAUAGCAGCUA